This 417-nucleotide unclassified non-coding RNA is filed under the name soil metagenome. RNAcentral describes it as "partial contains 5.8S ribosomal RNA, internal transcribed spacer 2, and large subunit ribosomal RNA". The stretch from base 1 to 120 matches the Rfam family "5.8S ribosomal RNA", at positions 35 to 154 of the family's 154-position model. The record is from RNAcentral.
GAUGAAGAACGUAGCGAAAUGCGAUAAGUAAUGUGAAUUGCAGAAUUCAGUGAAUCAUCGAAUCUUUGAACGCACCUUGCGCUCCUUGGUAUUCCAAAGAGCAUGCCUGUUUGAGUAUCAUUAAAUUAUCAACUGUACCAAUUUGGUUGCAGAUUGGAUGUGGGAGAUUUUGCAGGCUUUUGAUUUCUCUUUGAGAAAACGGUCAGCUCUCCUGAAAUAUAUUAGCAGUGCCUUUGUUGGUUCAUUAGGUGUGAUAAUUUAUCUACAUCUUCACAUGGUAACUUCAUUUGUGUAAAGGUCAUAUUGCUUCUAAUUGUCUUUGGACAUAAAAAAAAAAAACAUAUAAUUGUAUGGAAAACUUGAUCUCAAAUCAGGCAGGACUACCCGCUGAACUUAAGCAUAUCAAUAAGCGGAGGA